ACUCAAAUGAAUUGACGGGGGCCCGCACAAGCGGCGGAGCAUGUGGCUUAAUUCGAUGCAACGCGAAGAACCUUACCAGGGCUUGACAUGCAGAGAAAUCUCGUAGAGAUACGGGGUCCGCAAGGGUUCUGCACAGGUGGUGCAUGGCUGUCGUCAGCUCGUGUCGUGAGAUGUUGGGUUAAGUCCCGCAACGAGCGCAACCCUCGUCCUAUGUUGCCAGCGGUUCGGCCGGGGACUCAUAGGAGACUGCCGGGGUCAACUCGGAGGAAGGUGGGGAUGACGUCAAGUCAUCAUGCCCCUUACGUCCUGGGCUGCACACAUGCUACAAUGGCCGGUACAAUGGGCUGCGAUACCGUGAGGUGGAGCGAAUCCCAAAAAGCCGGUCUCAGUUCGGAUCGGGGUCUGCAACUCGACCCCGUGAAGCCGGAGUCGCUAGUAAUCGCAGAUCAGCAAUGCUGCGGUGAAUACGUUCCCGGGCCUUGUACACACCGCCCGU
Molecule: ribosomal RNA, 496 nt
Filed under: uncultured bacterium
Lineage: Bacteria
Description: partial 16S ribosomal RNA
Rfam family: Bacterial small subunit ribosomal RNA
Source: RNAcentral